This 422-nucleotide ribosomal RNA is filed under the name uncultured bacterium. Its description in RNAcentral is "SSU rRNA". It matches the Rfam family "Bacterial small subunit ribosomal RNA", at positions 369 to 808 of the family's 1533-position model. The record is from RNAcentral.
CAAUGGGGGAAACCCUGAUGCAGCGACGCCGCGUGGAGGAAGAAGGUCUUCCNAUUGUAAACUCCUGUUGUUGAGGAAGAUAAUGACGGUACUCAACAAGGAAGUGACGGCUAACUACGUGCCAGCAGCCGCGGUAAAACGUAGGUCACAAGCGUUGUCCGGAAUUACUGGGUGUAAAGGGAGCGCAGGCGGGAAAACAAGUUGGAAGUGAAAUCNAUGGGCUCAACCCAUNAACUGCUUUCAAAACUGUUUUUCUUGAGUAGUGCAGAGGUAGGCGGAAUUCCCGGUGUAGCGGUGGAAUGCGUAGAUAUNAGGAGGAACACCAGUGGCGAAGGCGGCNUACUGGACUNCAACUGACGNUGAGGCUCGAAAGNGUGGGUAGCAAACAGGAUUAGAUACCCUGGUAGUCCAAGGGCGAAUUC